GAAAAAUGAUGAAUGGGAAGAGAAACCACGACCAGACACCCACGGACGAAUGGGACAGACUCAACCAGACAUCAACGGAUGAAUGGGAGAAAGAAACCACGACCAGACAUCGAAAAAUGAUGAAUGGGAAGAGAAACCACGACCAGACGCCAACGGACGAAUGGGAAAGACUCAAUGUUGACGGACAUCGAAAGAUGAUGUCUACAGAUACCAAAAAGAAGGACCUACACGGGGAU
Molecule: long non-coding RNA, 236 nt
Filed under: Lathyrus oleraceus (garden pea)
Lineage: Eukaryota; Viridiplantae; Streptophyta; Magnoliopsida; Fabales; Fabaceae
Description: Pisum sativum (pea) long non-coding RNA (PSAT_LNC015072)
Source: RNAcentral